GGAUGAACGCUGGCGGCGUGCCUAAUACAUGCAAGUCGAGCGAACAGACGAGGAGCUUGCUCCUCUGACGUUAGCGGCGGACGGGUGAGUAACACGUGGAUAACCUACCUAUAAGACUGGGAUAACUUCGGGAAACCGGAGCUAAUACCGGAUAAUAUAUUGAACCGCAUGGUUCAAUAAAAAAAGACGGUUUUGCUGUCACUUAUAGAUGGAUCCGCGCCGCAUUAGCUAGUUGGUAAGGUAACGGCUUACCAAGGCAACGAUGCGUAGCCGACCUGAGAGGGUGAUCGGCCACACUGGAACUGAGACACGGUCCAGACUCCUACGGGAGGCAGCAGUAGGGAAUCUUCCGCAAUGGGCGAAAGCCUGACGGAGCAACGCCGCGUGAGUGAUGAAGGUCUUCGGAUCGUAAAACUCUGUUAUUAGGGAAGAACAAAUGUGUAAGUAACUAUGCACGUCUUGACG
Molecule: ribosomal RNA, 465 nt
Filed under: rape rhizosphere bacterium tsb004
Lineage: Bacteria
Description: bacterial SSU rRNA
Rfam family: Bacterial small subunit ribosomal RNA
Source: RNAcentral